RNAcentral lists this long non-coding RNA (205 nucleotides) under Capsella rubella. RNAcentral describes it as "long non-coding RNA (CRUB_LNC004813)". Lineage: Eukaryota; Viridiplantae; Streptophyta; Magnoliopsida; Brassicales; Brassicaceae. The record is from RNAcentral.
ACGAAUGACUAUAUUCUUCUUCUUCUUUUAUUUUUUUUAUUUUUACCCGUUAGGCCGUUAAAUUUUAAAAUACAAAGAAAAUGUUUUCUUUAAAAUAAAUAAAAAACAUUCAUGAUAAAAAAAAACAUAAAAUACGAUAGCGCAUAUUGUUUUGUUUUGUUUACACUUUAUUUUCUCAAAUCUUUUAUUUACCACUCAAAUUAGC